This is a long non-coding RNA of Macaca fascicularis (crab-eating macaque), 3651 nucleotides long. Lineage: Eukaryota; Metazoa; Chordata; Mammalia; Primates; Cercopithecidae. The record is from Ensembl.
UGCUGCGUGCGGGGGCCUUUGUAUGGGGUCCUUUGUGAGCUGGGUUAUGAACCAGGUGAAGGUCGUGCAGGCGUCAGAGAAUCGAGGCCAGACAUGACGGGUGGAGGCUUGGUGGAGGUGAGGAGCCAGACAGCCUCGCUAAAUGUGCGGUGGCUCACUGCAGACAGCGUCCAUCAGUCGCUAGACAGGCUUGAUCUUCAGCCCCUACGACAGCUGCCUUUAUCCUGUCUGCCUCCACCUUCUGAGGCCUAUAGGCAUCUCAAAUGUGUGUUUCUUAAACAGAUUUGGAUGAGUUGCUUUCUGCACAACACACCUGGACAGACGGAGGCUGGUUCUCCACAAUGGCACCAGGGACUUGGCGGAGACUGGCGGGACAGAGGCACAGCACCAGCUCCCUGGGAGAAGGCAGUGCCUGUGGGAUGGAGGAAAGAAGAGGCACACAGUGCUGAGAUCUAUACAACCUGGCGUUUGGCCGUGGCUUCCAGGACAGGCUGGAUGCAGAGUGAAGUCCUCUCCUCACUGUCAAUGUUUGCAGAUGUCUUCUUGUAUAAACUUCGUAUUUCUUGAGACUUUCAAUUAGGUUUUUACUUAACUGGACUUUUAAAAUUGCCAUGCACAUAACUCUACCAGUUACAAUCUUGAGCUAACAUGGGUUUUGGUUUUGGUUUUGGUUUUACUUUGAUGAAUGUUUAACAUUUGCAUGCUGGAUGUGGGGGUGGAGGUCAUUUAUCUGCUUUUCAUUGCCUUCUUGGUUAUACUUAGUGACUUUCAGGUAAGGUGUGGAAGGCGUGGUACAGGGUGAAUUGCAGGCCGCACUGUGGCGCCGUGGAGGACAGGUGCGGGCUGCAGUGGUGUGCACAGUGGAUGAGAGACAAGAGGAGACUUCCAUCCUUGAGGGAAACACACAACAAUUUAAAAAACUGAUCGUCUAGCUUACAUGAGGUCCAACAAAUUCAGUUUGCAAAGUUUAACUUCCAAGUUAAUUUAGUAAUUUUUCCCCUAAGUCAUUAAUUUAGUAGCUUAUGUUUAAAUAUAUUUCUUUUGUCUAAAGGAGGCCAUAAAUUCUAAAAUGAAUGACUAAACAUGUAAUAAUUUAGGCAUACAGCACCUGAAGGGAAAACUGCCAGUAUGCUAAAAUAUUGGAUACAGAUGCUUUUAAAAAAUAUAAUGUAGCAUUCUUACAAUGCAUGUGCUCUUAGCGUGUAACUUGGUGGGUAGUUUUGAACUAUAUUUGUGGGAAUGUGUAUCUUGAAUACUUGAGGCUACCACUGCAGAUGUGUGUGUGAGAUGUAUAAAUACUGAAUGUUAUUCUCCCUUCCCUUAAAUGGAAAACAUUAGCUCCCUUUUAUUUCCAUUUUAUUUUUAUUUUUGAAGUGGACUCUUGCUCGUUGCCCAGGCUGGAGUGCAAUGGCACAAUCUCGGCCCACUGCAAUUUCUGCUUCCCGGGUUGAAGUGAUUCUCCUCUCUCAGCCUCCUGAGUAGCUGGGACUACAGGCACCCGCCACCACGCCCAGCUAAUUUUUGUAUUUUUAUUAGAGAUGGAGUUUUGCCAUAUUGGCCAGGCUGGUCUUAAACUCCUGACUUCAGGUGAUCUGCCCACCCCGACCUCCCAAAGUGCUGGGAUUACAGGCGUGAGCCACCGUGCCCAGCCAGCUCCCUUGUGUAAUGAUUUUUAUACAGUUGUUUUGCUUUUGUUUUUGAGACGGGUCUCACUGUGUCACCCAAGCUGGAGUGCAGUGAUGCAAAUCUAGGCUGACUGCAGCCUUCACCUCCUGGGCUCAGGUGAUCCUCCCACCUCAGCUUCCUGAGUAGCUGGGAAUAGACACACCACGCCCAGCUAAUUUUUUUUUUUUUUUUUGUAUUUUUAGUAGAGACAGGGUUUUGCCAUGUUUUCCAGGCUGGUCUCGAGCUCCUGGGCUCAAGCGAUCUGCCUCAGCCUCCCAAACUGCUGGGAUUACAGGCGUGAGCACCACAUCUGGCCCAUUUUUUUUUUUCUUCCAGGAUUAGAAGUCGACUUUCAGAAAACCCUUCAACCUUGCAAACUUAAUUUUCCAUAACAAUAUGCCUCUAGGAUAAAAACAAGACAGGAAGAAAGUAUGUGUGGACUGCAGUUAAAAAUUUUCUACACAGCAUAGCUUAGGAGAGUUGACAUUUACAAAGAGCAGGAGGCCCCUUCAGUGCCUUCUAGGCAUUGGGAAUGGCGGUCUGUGGGCGACCCUAACGUGUGCGGCGUCCUGAGACUUGAUCGUGGUGCUCACGCUUUUCCCGAGGGCCCACCGGGAGUACCAGAGACUCUUCUUCUGCAGUCGGCCAGCCAGGCAGCAGCUGCUGGAGAAGGAACAAACAGUAAAAGACAGAUGUACACGGUGUUGUUGUGGCAGAGAGGUUAAAACCAGGCUCACUCUGUUCUUACAGUUUUAAAAAACUAAUAAUGAAGUCCUUGAAUAUGUAUUGCAUUUCAGGAUUUUAAAGCAGUUAUGGGUGUGUCUGUGUGUCUCUCUAGCUCCCGUUCGGGUGCUACCUGUGAAGAGAGCUCAGAGACGCCACCUUUCCUUGCUGAGGUGACAGGGUCUGGAGAGGUGUGAACCCUGUGGUGAGGGGGGUGACUGACCUGGGGGGAGGCUGGGUCAGCGGUGGGGAUCCACCCCCACUCCACGUUUCUGUAGGGAAUCCACAGUUCUAAGUCUUUAUGAUCUGGGUAACAUGAACCUGGAAGAGGUGUUAUUUUUUAAGAAGUAAGUGCCAUGCUCUUUUUUCCUCAUACUUCCCCAUGUUUAAGCAGCAUUGAAGGAUAAGGCACUAGUAGCAUGUUGGUUUGGAAACAAUCUUGUUGGUUAUUUUACCUUGAAUCUGAUACUAAGGUUGCCUGGUAACAGAAGUUUUCCUUUAACAACAUGGAACUCUGUUGAAUCUGUUGCCCCAUUGGCUGAGCAGUCUGAAGUCAGUGCCCUGGCAGCUAAAGAGGCCUUAGAGGAAGGCCUUGGAGGAAGCCGCUGGAUGGGCAGGAGGCACCCCCCUUGAUUGAGGGAGAGAGGUGCAGUUUGCAGGGACCCCACGUGGCACUUGUGGCUCUCUCCUGCCCCCUGCUGGCUGCCAAGCAGCCUCGCCACAGUGUGCUCAGCGUGAAUGUUCACGGGGCAGGCCAAGGCUUUUGUUCCAGAAACACUGACUUCAGAAACCGCAGGCUGUGUGUGUUGAGCAUGGCAAGAAAGACUUACGUGUGUCUUAAACCUCUUGAACAAAGCAAGUUGAUGUUUCAAAUGCAUCUCCAAGGCUAAUGACUUUGCUAUGGUCAAUAUUCUAGGAGAAAAUAGGGUUUGAUGAAAUAGAAGCACAGGAGUGGCAAGUGAGGUGCUUGUGCCCCGUAUGACUAAGCAAUGUCCUGGCCGUUCCACACCAUGGCCUCUGAGCAGCCAGCGUGCAGAUACUGGGUCAAUUUAGAUGGGACUCCUGGAGCUGUCGGCCGUCCGGGAGAAGUACGAGGAGUUGUGCCUAUGAUCAUGGUUCCCGCUACUGUGUCCAGCAAUGUGCCGUUCGAUUUCAGCAUCAGGGCAGACACAGCCCUGAACACUAUCACUGAGGUAAGUCCCAGUGCCCGCCAGGUGGGCCGCUGGCGCUAACCCGAUGGCCCCGGCCAUUAUUAUCUACCAG